UACAGAGGGUGCGAGCGUUAAUCGGAAUUACUGGGCGUAAAGCGCGCGUAGGCGGCUUUGCAAGUCGGGUGUGAAAUCCCCAGGCUUAACCUGGGAACUGCAUUCGAGACUGCAUUGCUAGAGUAUGGGAGAGGGAAGUGGAAUUUCCGGUGUAGCGGUGAAAUGCGUAGAUAUCGGAAGGAACACCAGUGGCGAAGGCGACUUCCUGGGCCAAUACUGACGCUGAGGCGCGAAAGCGUGGGGAGCAAACAGG
This 253-nucleotide ribosomal RNA is filed under the name uncultured bacterium. RNAcentral describes it as "partial 16S ribosomal RNA". It matches the Rfam family "Bacterial small subunit ribosomal RNA", at positions 524 to 776 of the family's 1533-position model. The record is from RNAcentral.